This 1493-nucleotide ribosomal RNA is filed under the name Loigolactobacillus coryniformis subsp. torquens. RNAcentral's name for it is "bacterial SSU rRNA". It matches the Rfam family "Bacterial small subunit ribosomal RNA". The record is from RNAcentral. Lineage: Bacteria; Bacillati; Bacillota; Bacilli; Lactobacillales; Lactobacillaceae.
GACGAACGCUGGCGGCGUGCCUAAUACAUGCAAGUCGAACGCACUGACGUCGACCGAAGCUGCUUGCAGUGGACGUUGAUUGACGUGAGUGGCGGACGGGUGAGUAACACGUGGGUAACCUACCCUUAAGCGGGGGAUAACAUUUGGAAACAGAUGCUAAUACCGCAUAACCAUUCAGACCACAUGGUCUGAAUGUAAAAGACGGCCUUUGGCUGUCACUUUUGGACGGACCCGCGGCGUAUUAGUUAGUUGGUAAGGUAACGGCUUACCAAGACAAUGAUACGUAGCCGACCUGAGAGGGUAAUCGGCCACAUUGGGAAUGAGACACGGCCCAAACUCCUACGGGAGGCAGCAGUAGGGAAUCUUCCACAAUGGACGAAAGUCUGAUGGAGCAACGCCGCGUGAGUGAAGAAGGUUUUAGGAUCGUAAAACUCUGUUGUUGGAGAAGAACAGGGACUAGAGUAACUGUUAGUCCUUUGACGGUAUCCAACCAGAAAGCCACGGCUAACUACGUGCCAGCAGCCGCGGUAAUACGUAGGUGGCAAGCGUUGUCCGGAUUUAUUGGGCGUAAAGCGAGCGCAGGCGGUUUUUUAAGUCUGAUGUGAAAGCCUUCGGCUUAACCGAAGAAGUGCAUUAGAAACUGGGAAACUUGAGUGCAGAAGAGGACAGUGGAACUCCAUGUGUAGCGGUGAAAUGCGUAGAUAUAUGGAAGAACACCAGUGGCCGAAGGCGGCUGUCUGGUCUGUAACUGACGCUGAGGCUCGAAAGUAUGGGGAGCGAACAGGAUUAGAUACCCUGGUAGUCCAUACCGUGAACGAUGAAUGCUAAGUGUUGGAGGGUUUCCGCCCUUCAGUGCUGCAGCUAACGCAUUAAGCAUUCCGCCUGGGGAGUACGACCGCAAGGUUGAAACUCAAAGGAAUUGACGGGGGCCCGCACAAGCGGUGGAGCAUGUGGUUUAAUUCGAAGCAACGCGAAGAACCUUACCAGGUCUUGACAUCCUUUGACCACUGUAGAGAUACAGCUUUCCCUUCGGGGACAAAGUGACAGGUGGUGCAUGGUUGUCGUCAGCUCGUGUCGUGAGAUGUUGGGUUAAGUCCCGCAACGAGCGCAACCCUUAUGACUAGUUGCCAGCAUUUAGUUGGGCACUCUAGUAAGACUGCCGGUGACAAACCGGAGGAAGGUGGGGAUGACGUCAAAUCAGCAUGCCCCUUAUGACCUGGGCUACACACGUGCUACAAUGGUCGGUACAACGAGUUGCGAACCCGCGAGGGUAAGCUAAUCUCUUAAAGCCGAUCUCAGUUCGGAUUGUAGGCUGCAACUCGCCUACAUGAAGCCGGAAUCGCUAGUAAUCGCGGAUCAGCACGCCGCGGUGAAUACGUUCCCGGGCCUUGUACACACCGCCCGUCACACCAUGAGAGUUUGUAACACCCGAAGUCGGUGGGGUAACCCUUUUAGGGAACUAGCCGCCUAAGGUGGGACAGAUGAUUGGGGUG